This is an RNA transcript of Zingiber officinale, 855 nucleotides long. RefSeq lists it as uncharacterized. The record is from RefSeq and is a predicted model, not a curated record. The transcript is spliced from 6 exons. Lineage: Eukaryota; Viridiplantae; Streptophyta; Magnoliopsida; Zingiberales; Zingiberaceae.
CCAUGAGCCGAGCCAGAGUUGAACCAAACCCAAUUCGAAAGGGCGUGGAUCCCUGCAACGUCGCGAAGGAAUCGACGUUGAGAGACGAACAAAGGAUCCGAAGCGAGACGAGAGAUUUGCCGACCGACAAGGUAGGAGGGUCGUUGCGGAGGAAGAACGCCCUUCGACUCGUUACGAGGAGGAUGAGGGGCAGAAGCUAUUGGAUCGUAGAAGUCGCUAGGGGGGAGCCUUCAUCGACUCCUACUCCAAGGCCCGCACUCGUCGAGUGUUUUCGUUGGGGAACCACGUGGAUUUGGGUUUUUUUCGGUAUGUUGAUCCGGCUGAAGCCAAUUAUCAAAUGGACAGGCAAAUUCUUCUUGGUCAGGAAUCAACUGUUGUAUUUGCAGAGGACAACAGAAAAAAAGCCCUCCGAGAUGAGGGCAAGAGAAGGAAGCGGCCAUGUGUAUGACCACUGAAGAACACCACGUCGCUCCCUCUCACCUUGCUAUUCUCGCUCCCGUUCUCACUCACCGCAAUAUUUGCACCCUCCAUGCGGUGGUAGGUCAUGUUCGAUAAACCUUCUCCGCCAAGGAGGCACCACUCCUAGGUACCUUGCACUUGAAGAGAAUAAGCAACUCUUUGUAAUUUGUGAAGCUAUACCCGGAAGGUUCAAGCUUGACAAGGGAGAAGCCACCAAUUGCUAGCUUCCUUGAUCUAUUGUUUCUCUAUCUGCACCAAAUCACAACAUCCUCCUUCAUUUGGGUUUGGAUUUUUUUUUAUAUUUAAAUUGUUCUUAUGUGGAAUAUUGAAGAAUGUAAUCAUAAAUAUUUUUAGUACUUUUUAAAUUCAAAAAUAAUGUUGGAUUUUUAACUACUA